RNAcentral lists this ribosomal RNA (459 nucleotides) under uncultured bacterium. Its description in RNAcentral is "partial 16S ribosomal RNA". It matches the Rfam family "Bacterial small subunit ribosomal RNA", at positions 338 to 795 of the family's 1533-position model. The record is from RNAcentral.
CCUACGGGAGGCAGCAGUGAGGAAUAUUGGUCAAUGGGCGGGAGCCUGAACCAGCCAAGCCGCGUGAGGGAAGAAGGUACAGCGUAUCGUAAACCUCUUUUGUCAGGGAACAAAGGCGGGGACUAGUCCCCGGAUGAGGGUACCUGAAGAAAAAGCAUCGGCUAACUCCGUGCCAGCAGCCGCGGUAAUACGGAGGAUGCGAGCGGUAUCCGGAUUUAUUGGGUUUAAAGGGUGCGCAGGCGGCCUGUUAAGUCAGCGGUAAAAGCCCGGGGCUCAACCCCGGCGAGCCGUUGAAACUGGCGGGCUUGAGUUGGAGAGAAGUACGCGGAAUGCGCGGUGUAGCGGUGAAAUGCUUAGAUAUCGCGCAGAACCCCGAUUGCGAAGGCAGCGUACCGGCUCCACACUGACGCUGAGGCACGAAAGCGUGGGUAUCGAACAGGAUUAGAUACCCCAGUAGUC